GAGAGAUAGACUGUAUUGAAAUGCAACUUAUUUUAGAGUUCAUUGAACAUGGAGAGGGCUAUUGGCCCUCAGCCUUCACUCAUUAGGAGGAGGAGAUGCAUUCAGGCUGCAGGACAGGGGAAAGUGAGAAAGAGGACAAGUGAAAGAGACAGAGAUGGAGUGGAUGGGACAGGGUCAUGCCGUCUACAGAUCAUCAAGCUCUCUGCUGAGGCAACAGCUUUGUUCAAUCCAAAAACAAUUUGGCUAACUGGCCAAACUUGGCAAAUGGUGGAGAAGGGCUUUAAUAAUAGAGGUGAGGAACAUGAUGCUCACUCUGGCUAAGCUCCAGAGAUCAUGUGUGGAGAAACUUUCAGAUGGACAAGGACAACCAACACUGCAACUCCAGCAAUCUGAGCACUAUUGGCAGAUUGGCCAGAAGGAAGUUUCUACUCAAUGCAUGACACGAAAGCCUGCUUGAAAUUUGCACCAAAAAAGCAUCUAAACCGACUGAGACUGAGACUGAGAGAAACAAGAUUCUGAUCUGAUAAACCUCAAUUCCAAGCAUUAAGUCUGGAGCAUCUUCUGCACAAUACCAUCCUAACAGUGAAGCAUGGUGAUGGUAGCAUCAUGAUGUCGGGGGUGUUUUGAGGGUGUAGGUGAAUGCAACAAAAUACAGAGAUACCUUUAGUCAAAACGACAAAAAAUCUGGUCCAGAGCACUCAGACUGGGCAGAAGGUUUCCCUUCCAUUAGGACAAUCCUCCUAAGCAUACACCCAAGACAAUGCAAGAGUGGCUUGAAACCUCUGUAAGUGACCUUUAGCAGCAUGCCAGACCCAGACUUCAACCACCAUCUUUAACCAACUACUUGACAUAGCUUGAAAAGAUUUGCAGACAAGAACGGCAGGAAUCUCAGAAUACAGGAGUGCAACACUUGUCCAUAAUACCCUAAAAAACACUUGAGGCUGUAAUUGCUGCAAAGGGUACUGAGUUAAGGCUCUGAAUACUUAUGCAAUGUGGGAUUCACUUUUUUCUUUUUCAAAAAGGC
Molecule: long non-coding RNA, 1024 nt
Organism: Cyprinus carpio carpio
Lineage: Eukaryota; Metazoa; Chordata; Actinopteri; Cypriniformes; Cyprinidae
Source: Ensembl